ACAUGUUUAGUAUAAGAUAAUACAUUAGAUUUAGGUUCUAAAGAUUUUUAAAUAUGUU
Molecule: transfer RNA, 58 nt
Filed under: Caenorhabditis angaria
Lineage: Eukaryota; Metazoa; Nematoda; Chromadorea; Rhabditida; Rhabditidae
Also listed under: 1 other name
Description: tRNA-Leu
Source: RNAcentral